UCGGGUCGGCAUGGCAUCUCCACCUCCACCUCCUCGCGGUCCGACCUGGGCAUCCGAAGGAGGAGCGGACGUCCACUCGGAUGGCUAAGGGAGAGCCCAG
This 100-nucleotide ribozyme is filed under the name Hepatitis delta virus. RNAcentral describes it as "Hepatitis delta virus ribozyme". It matches the Rfam family "Hepatitis delta virus ribozyme". From Rfam's summary of the family: The ribozyme acts to process the RNA transcripts to unit lengths in a self cleavage reaction. The record is from Rfam by way of RNAcentral. Lineage: Ribozyviria; Kolmioviridae.